GCGACUCUGCGCACGCCGUGGCUCCCGUUCGGUCCCUCGUCGCGCUGCCAGCCUCGGACCGGGCGAGGCCGUCCCCGCCCCAGUACGAGCAGGUCGCCGGUCUACCACCGCCCCCUCCCCCCGCCUCCUCGCAGCCGCCAUGGCCUGAAGUGGGCAUCCCCGAGCAGCGCCUCCCCUCCGGCCCCUCCUCGCGCCGCCGGCCUCGGGCCGGACGAGGCCGUCUCCGCUCCAGUGGGAUUAGCUCAGAGGUGUACCUCGCCGGUCUCAUCCGCCUCCUUGCCGUACCUAUCAAUGCCCCAAGCCAAGCCGGUAAUUGACGCUUGACGUUCCACUUUCUCCCCACGAUCUCCACAAAAAACUGAUGGAUUGCAUAUUAAAGUCGAUGCCUCGCCUCCCAUCAUCCUCCAGUACAGGUUGGUGUCUGCCAUAGCGUGCUCAUACUGCAGCUGCAGGUGAGCAUCCCCCUCCUCCCUCCUAAGCCAUUCCCUAUGGCAUAUUGCCAAUUGACUAACGAAUUUGGACUUCCUCAAGUGUUGGACGACUUGGAUGCCCAAUCAGUCGUUUUGAUUGUUCUUCACUCGCUGCAUACCCAACCACCUCAGAUUUACGGCUCCUGUUGGUAUUUAAUGUUCCCAUCCAUUUCAUACGAACCAAUUCUGAAGUUUUGUAUCUUUGGUUCAUAUGUAGAUUUAAUUUUGCUUGAUGAAUACACUGAAUUGCAAUUUAAUUCUUUGCCUAAUCCAAAUCUGAAUUUAAUUUCGCUUGAAAUAUGUAGCCUUCCAUUUCAAUUCUUCAGGUUUCUUCUUGGCUACCUUGGGGUCGAGCCGCCAUUGUCUUGCUGAUCCUCACACGCUCCAAUCUGAAGUUGAAGAUUACCUCCGACACACGCUCCAAUCUGAAGGUAUAUGCAAAUAUACAUGUUUUACUGCAAAUUAUGAUGGCUCGCUUCCUUGGAGUUUUUUCUAAUUUAUAUUUUCUUACUGAAGAUUACACAAUAGUUCCUCUACACUUCCCAAAGUGUAAUUGUCCCAUGUACAUUUUAGGUAAAGUGCAUAUACUAUGGAUGCAUAUAUAGAUUAUUCUGGAGUUUCUUUCAUUUGGUUGAGGCGGAUCACUGAAACUGAAUAGUAUUCUGGAAAUUAUGAACUUUUUUUACCAGGAAAGAAAUAUGGACACUAUCAUCUCUUAAGAGAAGGAUUUGUCUCUGUUGAACGUUCUCGUGCUACUUUUGCCCAUCUUAAUUGCAUAGCCACACCGAAGAGUUCCCUGGUGUCAUAAGCUUACUCAAAGUAUCUCAAAUAUAUGUGAGUUACGACUAACUAGGUACACACCAGAGAUCUGAAAAAAUCAAUCAAGGUCUAUCGACUGAUCUAAUCUUCCCUAUACAGUGUGUUUGUGCAAAACCGGGUUUUACAGUGCAUUCUCAAUUGUGCUUUUGUUGGACUUCGCAUCAUGGGGUCGAUGCCUCCCGGAUCGAGGUCCAUGCUUCAAGUUUAAGGUACAGCCUCUGUGCACUCUCUCAUAGCGAUCUCGACAGAGCAAAUAUCUUCCAGACCUUCCUCAAUUGCUAUAUUUUAUAUCUCAAUUUCAUUUGCUCAUAAUUACUACCUCACCUUCAAAUGUACAGGUUCUAAAUUAUGGUUGACCCUUUUGUGCAACAAAUUAUAUUGGAUUGGUUGCACAACAGUCACACAUAGACUCGCGCAUUAACAUCUGCCAGUUAGUUUGGUUAUACUUUAAAUUCAAAUGGCCCCUUAUUUAUUUAUUUGUCUAUUUAUUUUUGAAUGUCAAUCUUAUAGUGGUUGGUGGAUAAAUCAACCUCGCCAGAUGUUGGGUCCAUGUUGAUGUUGAGGUAUCCCUUCAUCUCCAUCUUAGUGGCUCUUCGAUAUUAUGAUGUUUUGCGGUUCUCCCUCACACUGUCAGUUUGCAGCCUAAGAUUUACAUGACUCAUAAGCAUGCAUAGUUGUGCACCAUAGAAGAGAAGGCAAACCAAAUAAAUUCAGAGGCGCCUAAAAAAAUUAGCAGUUUGCUGCAAAAGUUGUUCUGGUGAGAGACUCAAGUGUGAGCCUCAUGGUUUAUAGGUGACCUAUUUUUUAUAGGAAAUCAGAUUAUGAGUGAACUCACAUAUUAUCAAUGCAAUAUGUUUUUUUAUGGAAUGUACACAAUAGUUGCUAUCAUUGAUUUGAUUUAGGUUU
This is a long non-coding RNA of Triticum dicoccoides, 2195 nucleotides long. RefSeq lists it as uncharacterized. The record is from RefSeq and is a predicted model, not a curated record. The transcript has 3 exons. Lineage: Eukaryota; Viridiplantae; Streptophyta; Magnoliopsida; Poales; Poaceae.